AACUAGGAUUAGAUACCCUAUUAUUAAAAAUUUAAUUUAUAAUACUAAAAUAGUAGAUAAAAAAUAUUGAAACUUAAAUAAUAUGGCGGUAUUUUAGUUCAUUUAGAGGAAUCUGUUUAAUAAUUGAUAAUCCACGAAUAAAUUUACUUAAUUUAUAAUUUUGUAUAUCAUUGUUAAAAAAAUAUUUUUUAGUAAAAAUAAUAUUUAAAAAUUUAAAUAUGGAAAUUAAUUCAGAUCAAGAUGCAGAGUAUAAUUAAGAAUAUGAUGGAUUACAAUAAAUAUAUUUAAAUGAAUAAUUUUAUUGUAAAUAAAUUUGAAGGUGGAUUUAAAUGUAAUUUAAUUAAUCUAUCAAAUGAU
Molecule: ribosomal RNA, 357 nt
Filed under: Parnassius szechenyii
Lineage: Eukaryota; Metazoa; Arthropoda; Insecta; Lepidoptera; Papilionidae
Description: partial 12S ribosomal RNA
Source: RNAcentral